UAUGAGAGCCAUUACGAUGUAAAGUUUCGAACCUGGUCAGGAUGGGAACAUAGCAGCCAUAAGAAUUGCUUUGCAUGUGUAAUGGUUUUACUUUAUGAA
RNAcentral lists this signal recognition particle RNA (99 nucleotides) under Erysipelotrichaceae bacterium. RNAcentral describes it as "signal recognition particle sRNA small type". It matches the Rfam family "Bacterial small signal recognition particle RNA". Rfam says of the family: The signal recognition particle (SRP) is a universally conserved ribonucleoprotein involved in the co-translational targeting of proteins to membranes. Archaeal SRP consists of a 7S RNA and homologues of the eukaryotic SRP19 and SRP54 proteins. In most bacteria, the SRP consists of a 4.5S RNA and the Ffh protein (a homologue of the eukaryotic SRP54 protein). Lineage: Bacteria; Bacillati; Bacillota; Erysipelotrichia; Erysipelotrichales; Erysipelotrichaceae. The record is from RNAcentral.